AGAUUGAACGCUAGCGGGAUGCUUUACACAUGCAAGUCGAACGGCAGCGUGGACUUCGGUCUGGCGGCGAGUGGCGAACGGGUGAGUAAUAUAUCGGAACGUGCCCAGUAGCGGGGGAUAACUACGCGAAAGCGUGGCUAAUACCGCAUACGCCCUACGGGGGAAAGGGGGGGAUUCUUCGGAACCUCUCACUAUUGGAGCGGCCGAUAUCAGAUUAGCUAGUUGGUGAGGUAAAGGCUCACCAAGGCGACGAUCUGUAGCUGGUUUGAGAGGACGACCAGCCACACUGGGACUGAGACACGCCCAGACUCCUACGGGAGCAGCAGUGGGGAAUUUUGGACAAGUGGGACGAAAGCCUGAUCCAGCCCAUGCCGCGUGCAGGAUGAAGG
This 389-nucleotide ribosomal RNA is filed under the name uncultured soil bacterium. RNAcentral's name for it is "bacterial SSU rRNA". It matches the Rfam family "Bacterial small subunit ribosomal RNA", at positions 26 to 414 of the family's 1533-position model. The record is from RNAcentral.